GAUCUAUAGUGUGCAAAUUCUAAUAAAAGUGAUCUAAAACGAUCUCAUGCUUCAUAAAAAGACUCGGUAUCCUUUUGAUAAAAGUUAGAGAUUUCAUCCUUAAUUCU
This is a non-coding RNA of Ricinus communis (castor bean), 107 nucleotides long. Lineage: Eukaryota; Viridiplantae; Streptophyta; Magnoliopsida; Malpighiales; Euphorbiaceae. The record is from Rfam.